This 253-nucleotide ribosomal RNA is filed under the name uncultured bacterium. Its description in RNAcentral is "partial 16S ribosomal RNA". It matches the Rfam family "Bacterial small subunit ribosomal RNA", at positions 524 to 776 of the family's 1533-position model. The record is from RNAcentral.
UACGUAGGUGGCAAGCGUUGUCCGGAAUUAUUGGGCGUAAAGCGCGCGCAGGUGGUUUCUUAAGUCUGAUGUGAAAGCCCACGGCUCAACCGUGGAGGGUCAUUGGAAACUGGGGAACUUGAGUGCAGGAGAGAAGAGUGGAAUUCCACGUGUAGCGGUGAAAUGCGUAGAGAUGUGGAGGAACACCAGUGGCGAAGGCGACUACCUGGACAAUUGCUGACACUCAGGCACGAAAGCGUGGGGAGCAAGAGGG